GGUCGGGUCCGGUGACUGGUGGUCCGUGAACCCCGCCAGGUCCGGAAGGAAGCAACGGUGUCGGUCCCAUCGGGGCACCGGGAAACCCGGCCAUC
This 95-nucleotide signal recognition particle RNA is filed under the name Myxococcota bacterium. RNAcentral's name for it is "signal recognition particle sRNA small type". It matches the Rfam family "Bacterial small signal recognition particle RNA". Rfam says of the family: The signal recognition particle (SRP) is a universally conserved ribonucleoprotein involved in the co-translational targeting of proteins to membranes. Archaeal SRP consists of a 7S RNA and homologues of the eukaryotic SRP19 and SRP54 proteins. The record is from RNAcentral. Lineage: Bacteria; Pseudomonadati; Myxococcota.